RNAcentral lists this ribosomal RNA (593 nucleotides) under uncultured fungus. RNAcentral describes it as "eukaryotic LSU rRNA". It matches the Rfam family "Eukaryotic large subunit ribosomal RNA", at positions 40 to 647 of the family's 3401-position model. Lineage: Eukaryota; Fungi. The record is from RNAcentral.
AUAUCAAUAAGCGGAGGAAAAGAAACCAACAGGGAUUGCCUCAGUAACGGCGAGUGAAGCGGCAAGAGCUCAAAUUUGAAAUCUGGAGCCUUCGGCUUCCGAGUUGUAAUUUGAAGAGGGUGUUUCGGUUGCGGCCCUGGCCUAAGUUCCUUGGAACAGGACGUCAUGGAGGGUGAGAAUCCCGUACAUGGCUGAGGGCUUGCUUCUAUGUGAAACCCCUUCGAAGAGUCGAGUUGUUUGGGAAUGCAGCUCAAAAUGGGUGGUAAAUUUCAUCUAAAGCUAAAUAUUGGCGGGAGACCGAUAGCGCACAAGUAGAGUGAUCGAAAGAUGAAAAGCACUUUGAAAAGAGAGUUAAACAGUACGUGAAAUUGUUGAAAGGGAAGCGCUUGCAAUCAGACUCGCUUUCGGUUGAUCAACGUUCCUUUUGGUUCGUGCACUCUGCCGUUUGCGGGCCAGCAUCAGUUGGGGCGGUGGGACAAAGGCGGUGGGAAUGUGGCUCCCCUCGGGGAGUGUUAUAGCCCGUCGUGCCAUGCCACCAGUCCCGACUGAGGUCCGCGGUUCGCCUAGGAUGCUGGCUUAAUGGUUGUAAGCGA